RNAcentral lists this long non-coding RNA (2255 nucleotides) under Zea mays. RNAcentral's name for it is "long non-coding RNA (ZMAY_LNC000200)". Lineage: Eukaryota; Viridiplantae; Streptophyta; Magnoliopsida; Poales; Poaceae. The record is from RNAcentral.
CAUAGCGGAAGACUUAUUACAAAAUAAAAGAUAAAUAUAAAACGAACUAAGGAUCAUCGGCGCCAAUGUCGACUGAGAAACGCCACCUAGAUCAAAUCGAACUCCUCGCUUUGUGGCUCCUCCUGAACCACCUGUUCUUCUCCUGUGGGGGGGUGUGAGACAGCAAGAGUGAGCUCACAUACGUUCAUAGCUCAAUAAGUCGUGGGGAAUAAUGUGGCACGAACUCACCAAAGGUGGGAGUUCAUGAAGUGUAAGGCUGAUCAAAGAAAUAAAGGUUGAGGCUGAGCAUUGCUUUUAUAAGUUGGUCAAAAUUUUAUUAGCAAUUACUAAGUGUAAGUAAAUACCAAACCUUAAUAAUAAUAAAGAAAAGUAAUAGUAAAAUAAUCCCAAAUGUGAUGCAAAUGUCAAAUUAAAUUUAAGUUCCAUAAUUAAUCAUGUGAGGGUCCGAGCCGCUCAUGACCGUGAGCACGGCUAGUAUACUAGUUUUACACUCUGCAGAGGUUGCACAUCUUUACCCACAAGUCAUGUUACCCAUCUGCCAAGAGAUGGCCAAUCCCAUACACCUCUACCGAGGAGGCGAGGCAGGGUAACACUACGAGGCCUUUACAAAGUUCCACUAGCUUCAGAAAUCCCGCUACAGUUUAUAGGAAGCUCCAAUGCAGGGUUCUUGCCUGACCGCCAUCGCAACAAAAUCAACCCAAGGACCUCCCUACACUGACCACUCCCCUACUGCCCUUGCCCCUUUCAGGUAAGGAAGACCUCCACUAGCUUUCCUAGUUAAUCAGCCAAGGGCGUCCCAUUAUACCCUUGUGGUAGCACUGUUUUCCCGGGUGGUCGCUCCAUGUUCCCAUUAACAUAAUGAUCUUAACAUGAACAGUAAUAAUAAAAGAGAAUAAAAGAGUAAUUAUGAAUAAAGUAUCUUCAUACCCAAAUCCACAUAAAGCAAUAGCAGGUACUACCCAAAGAAAUAUUUCAGUGGUAAACAAGGUAUAAAGAUAGCCAAAACUAGGGUAACCUAUUGGGUCCCAUCAAAAUUAUCCUAUGCAGAUCAUUAUAAUUAAUAAGAAUAUGGCUGCGAAAAAGUAAGUGAUCAAGGGCACAACUUGACUUCAAUGAGCUCCUGCUCAGCUACCUCUACUUGUUGAACCUCAGUUUCCACAUUGGCUUGCUCGUCUACUCGCAUCAACACAAUACAUACAUAGUAUAGCCAAAAUCAACAUCACACCAAACAGAUGAAUAAAAUAUACAGUAAAAAUCUAUACAUUAAAUGAAAUCAUAGGAACUGGAAUCACUAAAUUUGGAGUUAUAGAUUUCAAGUUAUGAAUUUCCUAAGGUUUAAUGUGAUUAAAAUAGGAUUAGAUGAGAAAUUAAUUUUCUUACUGUUUUCAUGUCAAAACAGAGACACUAAAUGAUAGAGAAUAAAAUUACAAAAUUUUAGGAACUGGAAUGGUUCAAUUUGGAGCUAAAAUGAAUUUUCUAUGCAUUUUACAAGUUCUAACAUUCAUUUGGGCAUUAAAACUAAUUUCUGAUAUAAAUUUCUGAUUUUUAAUACCCUCUGGAUUGGGCCACGUUUUCUGAAAAGUACAGGGGCGCCUAGGUAAAAAUCCCGAGUCACAGAGAACAGUAUAGGGUAGACUGCGGGUUGAAUAGUUAUUAAUCUAGGGUCUCUUUAGAAAUUAUGCCGCGCGAAGGGGUAUCUUGUGUUUUCAGCCGUCCGAUCUAGAGUCUAGGGUUUAGAUUUUAUGAAGCCUAACGCAUUAUGAACCGUUCGAUUAAACCUACGGCCCGGAUUGACUCAUCCAGGAGGUAUCCCCGAUUAGAUCUGCACCGCAUAUCAACGAUCUCACGAACAUCUUUCGCCCAACCCAUCUUCUAAUCUCGACCGGUCAUCUCAGCAUCUACGGCGACGACAUCGUCUUCCACCCAACAGCCCAGACGCCGUCUUCCUCCCUCGUGCUCGCACUCUACGGCGGCGGCCCAGCCGAUCCCCUACGGCUGAACACCAUAACCGAGCCAGCACGCAGUUCCGUGUUCGCCGUCCAAGCCCUAACUUCUACCCGGACGACCUCGUUCGAUACCCCGGUGUUCUGCGCGAUACUCGAGCGACCCACUACAAUCUAUACCCUGACGAUACCUUGUGCGAAAAUCAUAGCAGCAAGGAUAGCGGAAAAAGAACUCACCCCGCCGAGACAAGGUAGAGGCUGGGCGCAGGUGAUGCUUCACGAAAGAUCGCCACCGAGGACCCUCCUGCAUAG